GUUUAACGGCCGCGGUAUUUUGACCGUGCAAAGGUAGCGCAAUCACUUGUCUUUUAAAUAAAGACCUGUAUGAAUGGCAUAACGAGGGCUAAACUGUCUCCUCACCCCAGUUAAUGAAAUUGAUCUUCCCGUGCAGAAGCGGGAAUUGACCCAUAAGACGAGAAGACCCUGUGGAGCUUCAGACAAAUAGAUGAAUUAUUAAACAAUAACACCAUAUAAAAGGUAACUAAAACAAUAACCUCAUCCUAAGUCUUUAGUUGGGGCGACCGCGGAGCAAAAUAAAACCUCCGUGAGGAAUGAGGUAAAAACCUUAUACCCAAGAAUGUCAUUUCUAAGUACCAAAAUAUUUGACCUAUAGAUCCGGCAAUAACCGAUCAACGAACCUAGUUACCCCAGGGAUAACAGCGCAAUCCUCUUUGAGAGUCCCUAUCGACAAGAGGGUUUACGACCUCGAUGUUGGAUCAGGACAUCCUAAUGGUGUAG
RNAcentral lists this ribosomal RNA (483 nucleotides) under Hippocampus ingens. Its description in RNAcentral is "partial 16S ribosomal RNA". It matches the Rfam family "Bacterial large subunit ribosomal RNA", at positions 1922 to 2558 of the family's 2925-position model. The record is from RNAcentral. Lineage: Eukaryota; Metazoa; Chordata; Actinopteri; Syngnathiformes; Syngnathidae.